This 120-nucleotide ribosomal RNA is filed under the name Mucilaginibacter psychrotolerans. RNAcentral describes it as "partial 16S ribosomal RNA". It matches the Rfam family "Bacterial small subunit ribosomal RNA", at positions 1417 to 1533 of the family's 1533-position model. The record is from RNAcentral. Lineage: Bacteria; Pseudomonadati; Bacteroidota; Sphingobacteriia; Sphingobacteriales; Sphingobacteriaceae.
GUGCCUGAAGUGCGUAACCGUAAGGAGCGUCCUAGGGUAAAGUCGGUAACUGGGGCUAAGUCGUAACAAGGUAGCCGUACCGGAAGGUGUGGCUGGAAUACCUCCUUUCUGGAGCAUUAU